RNAcentral lists this long non-coding RNA (3387 nucleotides) under Musa acuminata (dwarf banana). RNAcentral describes it as "long non-coding RNA (MACU_LNC006075)". The record is from RNAcentral. Lineage: Eukaryota; Viridiplantae; Streptophyta; Magnoliopsida; Zingiberales; Musaceae.
AUAUUUCACCUUUGGGUAAAAUAUUGACAUAUCUAGUAUGAACACUCAAGAUCAUUUAUGGAGGACUGAUACCAUCCUCGUCGAAUAGUAUUGUUAUCUUUGGGUUUAAGAUCUUAAAUUAUAAAGAUAUUCAAAACAAUCAUCCUACCCCAUCAUAUAACUAUUUGAAAUAGAUCCUUUAGGAUUAUUUAAAUCUCCUAAUUAUAUAUGUCAUCAUAAAUAUUAUUUUAUUUAAUAAUAUUUAAGAUAGUUCUAUAAUAUAUUUUAUAGAUUAUUGGUACACAUCACUUUGGUGGCUACGUGACUAUACAAAAGCACAAAAUACAGUCUAAAAUAUCCUAUAAAUGAUAAGAAUUUUAUUGUAAUUCAUAUCCCAUAAGCAUAUCAUCUCAAACUACCUUGGUAACUACUGAUCAGAUAAAACUUAGGAAGAUAAAUUACAAAUAAUAUUUACUAAAUUUUUUUAUCAUAUGAAUAUUAUUUUAUUUAAUAUCAUUUAGGACUAAUUUCAUAAUAUAUUUUAUAAAUUAUUGAUCCAAGUCACUUUGGUGUCUAUAGGAGCAAUACUAAAAUAUAAAAUAUAAUAUAAAAUAUCUUUUAAAUGAUAAAAUUUUUAUUAUAAUUCAUAUCUCAUAAAUCUAUUAUCUCAGUAACUUUGACAGCUAUCAAUCAAAUAAAAUUUAUGAAGAUAAAUUAUAAAUAAUAAUUAUAAAUUUAUUUAUCUUGAUUCAUGCUAAAAUAGUUAAAUAAUAAAAUAACAACCAUAAUAAUUAUUGAAUAUUAAUUAAUAAAAAAAACUCAUUUGAUAAUCAUGAUAAUAUAUAAAUCAUGCCUUCAUGUGAAAGAUAAACAUUCUUUCAUAAUUUUAAAAAUAUAUCCAAGAACAAUAAUUAGAUUUUAUUUACCACAUGUUAAAAAUAUAAUCAAUAAUUCAUAUAAGAAAACUAUAAAAGUAAACUAUAAUUUAUAUUUUUUUAAUCAGAAUUAAAUCCAACCAUAUAAUCAAAAUAUAAUCAUGAUUAAAUUAAAUCAUAAUUAUAAUAAAUUAUAUUUAUCAAUUUUAUAAUUAAGAAUAUAACUUAGAAUUCUCAAUUUUAAGAGUAAAAUUGUAAAUAUAUUGACAGAAAAUAAAUGAAAUUAUAAAAUUUGUAAAGGGUAAAAUUAUAAUUUGAUAAAACUCUAACCUCGAGGAUAAAACUAUAAAUAUGUCAAAAGAAUGAAAUGAUAUUAAUAAAAUAUAGAAGGGCAAAGCUAUAAUUUUACCAAAGGGAAACCCUAGAACAAUACUAUAAUUUUGCCCAUAAAUUAGAGCAAUGCUAUAAUGUUGCGCAUGCGACGUUGCCACGUCGCUGCAGCGGUUCCUACUGCGUGUGGCCGCCGCCUGGGCGCGGCUGCCACUUAGUCGUGGCUCUUGCAUGCACGCGACCGUUGUCGUUGCCCUCUGCCCACGGGGGCAGUGGUUGACGGCAUCUACGGCCACCGCCCUUUUGCAGGCGCCCCUGCGCGCACAAGUUGCCCAACGCAGCUGCUACGACGCACACGUUGCGUGGUGCAGCCUCCGCUCGCAAGCGGACCUCUGCUCGCGUGUGGCCGUGAUGCACAGCUGCAAGGUGGUACAUGGCCCUUCAGUGGGGUUGUCAACAACGAUCAACAAAGAUCAUUGUCUCAAUAACAUCGAUAGAAAACAUAAAUUCAUCGAGCAAACAUAAAAAUUAUACAUUGCUCAAAAUUAACGAUAGAGCAAAUCAUAUGAAAAAUCCAGAUCAAUAAUAUCCAACGAAUCAUUUAUGCAUCGUAAAUAAAAAUAAUAGAUCUAAUAUAUUUGAUCUCAAGAACCUAAGCUCUGAUACCAAUUAUUAGCAUAAAAUCCAUAAUUAUGCUAUCUAUAAUGCGAAAAAAUUAUUAUGUCAAUAUUUAAAUCAAAUAAAUUGGGUCUAACAAUAUUAAGAUGCAUACCUUGUUUGUUCAGAAAAAUAAACUUUAUAUGAUCACCUAGAUUGAUAGAUUAGGAAGAUUGAGAGAAAAACUUUAAUCUCUCAAUUACAUUAAGAUGCCUCGCUUUUAGCCCCUAGAGAUUCUGUCUGGACUAGGAUAAAUUAUUAGGAGAGUUUCUUCCAAGAUUAUUUCCUUAGGAAUCCUAUUUUAACAUUAACUUCUUUUCUAUUGGUUAAUAAUCAUAAUCAGAAUCUAAUUAUAUCUUAUCUAAUUAAAUAGGACCAUAUAAUCUAACUCUUUGAUGUUAUAUGUUGAAAGUAGAGAGCGAAGUGGGUCGGUCGAUGAUUUUGGAAAGAAUCGACGUUCAAGAGAAAGGCUAAAUGUGGUGUCACUUUUCAACUUAGGCUGAAUAUUUUCAAUAUGAUGAAAGUUCACUUAUCGUAGAAUAAUGUUUCAAAAACUUAUCUGAGAUAUUCUUACAUCUAAAAGACUUAUGUAUCAAAGAUUAAUGAUUCAAAAUCUUAUUUAAUUGUAAUCUCUUAAAUAUUAAUAUGAUGAUGUGUACAUAUAAUGCUUACCUAUGAUAAAUAUGAUAUGUAUGAUGAUGACAUAGACAUAAGCCAAUGCUCUAUAAAUACACUUUUCCCUCCUUCAGCGUUGUGAUCAUCUCACUUCUCACUUUCACGUUCCUUGUCCAUCCACCACCCUGGUCAUGGCUUCGUCCCCACACAGCUCCUCUCCUUUCCACCACCUCCUCGUCUUCUAGGUCUUAUAAUUUAGACCUUUUUAGGUCUCCUCUACAUUGUUAGUUGUUAUCAAGGGAGUAACUAGCAAUUUAUUGUGAUUCAUGAAUUCCUUUGCAUAGGAUGGAUUUAAUAAUGUUGCAUGAGUAAGGCUUUAUGCGGGCACAUAAACACUUCUACAAGGGUCUCCUGCUUCUGUGUAUUGUAGUUUUAUUGAUCCUGAUCUUCCAUUAGAAUUGCAUGCAUGCGAAUACAUCAGAAUGCCCUUUAAUUGAUGAAUUCUUUACCUCUGUCUUGACGAGCAGUUUCACCAGGAAUCAAACUAAUGGUGCAUGGCCUGAAGAAUGUAUGGGGAUCAAUGCGUGCAGUAGUUUCCACAGCAUGUGAGCUUAUGGUACUAACAUCAAAAGGAGCCGCUGAUGAGAAUAUUGUAGAGCAAAGACUGCUCAAGGAGCUGUGCAAACAUGGCUUUUAAUAAAAUUGACUUGGAUAGGGAGUUUUCUUGGGCUAAAAGAUUAUGACCUGUAGCAGUCCAUGGAUGAGCUUUUUGGUUGUGUAUGAUGAAUAGAUUUUUGCCUUGAGAGCAGAGCUUGAGGUUCUCGUUAGCCUGUAACUCCUUGAUUCUUUUAUCACAUGCUUUAGUGAUCCUCGAUGCCUGCAAGAUUACUGAAACUAAUAUUUGAGAUUGGUAGCCCAAUUUUUUCUCUCU